GGACUACAGGGGUAUCUAAUCCUGUUUGCUCCCCUAGCUUUCGCAGCUCAGCGUCAGUGAUGGCCCAGAUACCUGCUUUCGCCAUAGGUAUUCCUCCUGAUAUCUACGCAUUUCACCGCUACACCAGGAAUUCCAGUAUCCCCUACCACACUCUAGCCCGGUAGUUUCCCUUGACCUCUCCCAGUUAAGCCGGGAGCUUUCACAAAAGACUUACCGAACCGCCUACCUGCGCUUUACGCCUAGUGAUUCCGAGUAUCGCUUGCCACCUACGUAUUACCGCGGCUGCUGGCAC
RNAcentral lists this ribosomal RNA (292 nucleotides) under uncultured bacterium. RNAcentral's name for it is "partial 16S ribosomal RNA". The record is from RNAcentral.